AUUGAACGCUGGCGGCAUGCCUUACACAUGCAAGUCGAACGGCAGCACGGGAGCAAUCCUGGUGGCGAGUGGCGAACGGGUGAGUAAUACAUCGGAACGUGCCCAGUAGUGGGGGAUAGCCCGGCGAAAGCCGGAUUAAUACCGCAUACGACCUAUGGGUGAAAGCGGGGGAUCGCAAGACCUCGCGCUAUUGGAGCGGCCGAUGUCAGAUUAGCUUGUUGGUGGGGUAAAAGCCCACCAAGGCGACGAUCUGUAGCUGGUCUGAGAGGACGACCAGCCACACUGGGACUGAGACACGGCCCAGACUCCUACGGGAGGCAGCAGUGGGGAAUUUUGGACAAUGGGCGCAAGCCUGAUCCAGCCAUGCCGCGUGUGGGAAGAAGGCCUUCGGGUUGUAAACCACUUUUGUCAGGGAAGAAAUGGUUCAAUCUAAUACAUUGAACUAAUGACGGUACCUGAAGAAUAAGCACCGGCUAACUCCGUG
Molecule: ribosomal RNA, 484 nt
Filed under: uncultured bacterium
Lineage: Bacteria
Description: bacterial SSU rRNA
Rfam family: Bacterial small subunit ribosomal RNA
Source: RNAcentral